CGGAGACCUAAGUUCAAUGAAAUAUCCUCAAGGAUAUCACUGAUAUGAUAGAUCAGUCCAUUGGCUUCUUCUACCCAUGCAAUCGAUGACUUAUAGUGUGUGCUGUCCCAUAAAUAUGCACGACUACACUCCAUUCUAUAAACCAUUCCUUGAAGUUUAAGGAACAUCCUGUCUAGUUUCCGUAGCUCAGUACUAACAUUUAAAAUUUUGCUUACUUCAUCGAUAGCAAACUCUGUAAAAUUCGCAAAUAGAAUGGAGAACGUAUAUGAUGCAAAACCAGCUCGAAAAUCCUCAUCCAUUGGAUAAAAGUUCUUGGUUUUAGAGCUUUGACAAUGGCAGUCACGGUAUUGGUGCUUAGGUCCGGAGCUAGGCGGUUGAAUUGACAAUGGAGACAGACUGUAGGAGAUAUAGAGUGGAAACAGCACUGGCGGUGGUCGUCG
This 440-nucleotide unclassified non-coding RNA is filed under the name Hevea brasiliensis (rubber tree). The record is from RNAcentral. Lineage: Eukaryota; Viridiplantae; Streptophyta; Magnoliopsida; Malpighiales; Euphorbiaceae.